This 600-nucleotide ribosomal RNA is filed under the name bacterium. RNAcentral describes it as "bacterial SSU rRNA". It matches the Rfam family "Bacterial small subunit ribosomal RNA", at positions 62 to 664 of the family's 1533-position model. The record is from RNAcentral.
CCCUUCGGGUGACGUUAACGGCGUCGAGCGGCGGACGGGUGAGUAAUGCCUGGGAAAUUGCCCUGAUGUGGGGGAUAACCAUUGGAAACGAUGGCUAAUACCGCAUAAUGCCUUCGGGUCAAAGAGGGGGACCUUCGGGCCUCUCGCGUCAGGAUAUGCCCAGGUGGGAUUAGCUAGUUGGUGAGGUAAUGGCUCACCAAGGCGACGAUCCCUAGCUGGUCUGAGAGGAUGAUCAGCCACACUGGAACUGAGACACGGUCCAGACUCCUACGGGAGGCAGCAGUGGGGAAUAUUGCACAAUGGGCGCAAGCCUGAUGCAGCCAUGCCGCGUGUGUGAAGAAGGCCUUCGGGUUGUAAAGCACUUUCAGCAGUGAGGAAGGCGGGUACGUUAAUAGCGUGCUCGUUUGACGUUAGCUGCAGAAGAAGCACCGGCUAACUCCGUGCCAGCAGCCGCGGUAAUACGGAGGGUGCGAGCGUUAAUCGGAAUUACUGGGCGUAAAGCGCAUGCAGGUGGUUCGUUAAGUCAGAUGUGAAAGCCCGGGGCUCAACCUCGGAACUGCAUUUGAAACUGGCGGACUAGAGUACUGUAGAGGGGGGUAG